Molecule: long non-coding RNA, 471 nt
Organism: Mytilus californianus (California mussel)
Lineage: Eukaryota; Metazoa; Mollusca; Bivalvia; Mytilida; Mytilidae
Exons: 2
Source: RefSeq, a predicted model, not a curated record
GAUCAGCACCUUUGGUUAAUUAUUCAUAUAUAUAAUGAAAAGACUUAUUGUCUUUAUUCUCGUAAUCUAAUCUAUCAUAAAUCUACACGAGAUCUAAUAGUUAGUAGUUAUCAGUGCUAUACUGUUGAAUUCACACUAGACUGCCGUGUAUGUUUUAACACCUAUUUGAUAAUAUACCAAUGUCUCCAUGUUUAACAAUUGAAGAGGUUUGUGUAGAUACCAUGUCGGGUCUAUGCAUGAAUAUAACAGGAACCAUUCUGUUUUCCCUUGUACGUGAUCUCUUGAAAUAAAUCGGCAUCACGUCUUUUUACAUCUGUUUCACAGUAUAAUGAUUGUAUACUAAAGCCUCCCGUGGUGGGGUAUUGUGAAUCAAUGUCUUCGGCUUAAUGAUUAAUUAUCAUGUUGCCAAUAUUCUUAUUGUUUUUUAAACCAAUAUCUGGUUUGGAUUUAGAUAGUUUGUUUUUUUUUUUU